Molecule: ribosomal RNA, 468 nt
Filed under: uncultured bacterium
Lineage: Bacteria
Description: partial 16S ribosomal RNA
Rfam family: Bacterial small subunit ribosomal RNA
Source: RNAcentral
GACUAACGCUCGCGGUGUGCUUAACACAUGCCAGUCUAACGAUAAGGCCCUUUCGGGCUUACUCGAGGGGCGAACGCGUGAGUAGUACGUGUGUAACCUGCCCUCAUAUCUGGGAUAACAGUCGGCAACGGUGGCAAAUACUUGAUAUCAGCUUGCAAGGCAUCUUUUUGGCUGGAAAGAAUUGUUUUGGUGGGGGAUGGACCAGCGGUCUAUCAUCUUGUUGGAGUGGUAGUGGCUCACCAAGGCUUCGACGGGUAGCAGCCCUGAGAGGGCGACCGGUCACAUUGGGAAUGAGAUACGACCCAAACUCCUACGGGAGGCAGCAGUGGGGAAGAGUGCACAAUGGACGGAAGUCUGAUGCAGCAACGCCGCGUGCGGGAUGACGGAGUACGGGUUGUAAACCGCUUUCAAAUGGGACGAAGCUUUGUUGUGACGGUAGCAGUAGAAGAAGCACCGGCUAACUACGUG